RNAcentral lists this ribosomal RNA (86 nucleotides) under Phellinus rhabarbarinus. RNAcentral describes it as "partial 28S ribosomal RNA". It matches the Rfam family "Eukaryotic large subunit ribosomal RNA", at positions 1 to 86 of the family's 3401-position model. Lineage: Eukaryota; Fungi; Basidiomycota; Agaricomycetes; Hymenochaetales; Hymenochaetaceae. The record is from RNAcentral.
UUGACCUCAAAUCAGGUAGGAUUACCCGCCGAACUUAAGCAUAUCAAUAAGCGGAGGAAAAGAAACUAACAAGGAUUCCCUAGAAC